ACUAAGCUGCAUUGUACGUAAUCAUAAUUAAGUUUUAACCUUUAAGCUGUAAUAGGGAGUUUAAAAUCAAAACAGGAAUGACAAGCCUCUGUCUAUAAGACAAGGAGGACAUGCAGGAUCGUUUUUGCGAACACCCACUUUGAGAAGUGGUGGUUUAAAACUUUCUUAUACAUUAUUACGGCAAAGGCGGCUUUCUA
RNAcentral lists this non-coding RNA (197 nucleotides) under Cytobacillus gottheilii. Its description in RNAcentral is "6S RNA". It matches the Rfam family "6S / SsrS RNA". Rfam says of the family: E. coli 6S RNA was the first non coding RNA to be sequenced, but its function was unknown until recently. Lineage: Bacteria; Bacillati; Bacillota; Bacilli; Caryophanales; Bacillaceae. The record is from RNAcentral. RNAcentral also lists the same sequence under 1 other name.